Molecule: RNA transcript, 528 nt
Organism: Homo sapiens (human)
Lineage: Eukaryota; Metazoa; Chordata; Mammalia; Primates; Hominidae
Gene: CLPSL2
Gene name: colipase like 2
Exons: 3
Source: RefSeq, marked validated
GCUGCUCUGCCGCCCAGGCCCAUGGCCGCAGCCCUGGCGCUCGUGGCGGGGGUCCUGUCGGGGGCGGUGCUGCCCCUCUGGAGCGCGCUUCCGCAAUAUAAAAAGGUGAGCCGGGGAGCGCGCCCAGCCGGCCGCGACCGCAGGAGAGGGUGGCCCCGCCGCCGGGGCACUGGAGCCCGAAGGCGCCGGGCAGCCUGAAAGGGAGAGAAAAUCACAGACAGGUGCUUCCACCACUCUGAGUGCUACAGUGGCUGCUGCCUCAUGGACUUGGACUCCGGUGGAGCCUUCUGUGCCCCCAGGGCCAGAAUAACCAUGAUCUGCUUGCCCCAGACCAAGGGAGCUACCAACAUCAUCUGCCCUUGCCGGAUGGGCUUGACGUGCAUAUCCAAGGACUUGAUGUGUUCCCGCCGGUGCCAUAUGAUUUAGAGGAAGAUGCAGGCUGGUCACUGCUCCCUUGGGGCCAUAGGCCCUGGUUGCCACCAACUUGCUCCAAAUCCAGCUCCUGAGACAUUAAAGUCACUUCCUGUC